RNAcentral lists this ribosomal RNA (162 nucleotides) under Phaseolus vulgaris (common bean). Its description in RNAcentral is "5.8S ribosomal RNA". It matches the Rfam family "5.8S ribosomal RNA". From Rfam's summary of the family: 5.8S ribosomal RNA (5.8S rRNA) is a component of the large subunit of the eukaryotic ribosome. It is transcribed by RNA polymerase I as part of the 45S precursor that also contains 18S and 28S rRNA. Functionally, it is thought that 5.8S rRNA may be involved in ribosome translocation. The record is from RNAcentral. Lineage: Eukaryota; Viridiplantae; Streptophyta; Magnoliopsida; Fabales; Fabaceae.
AAAAUGACUCUCGGCAACGGAUAUCUCGGCUCUUGCAUCGAUGGAGAACGCAGCGAAAUGCGAWACUUGGUGUGAAUUGCAGAAUCCCGUGAACCAUCGAGUCUUUGAACGCAAGUUGCGCCCAAAGCCAUUAGGCUGAGGGCACGCCUGCCUGGGUGUCAC